This 293-nucleotide ribosomal RNA is filed under the name uncultured bacterium. Its description in RNAcentral is "partial 16S ribosomal RNA". It matches the Rfam family "Bacterial small subunit ribosomal RNA", at positions 775 to 1067 of the family's 1533-position model. The record is from RNAcentral.
GGAUUAGAUACCCUGGUAGUCCACGCCGUAAACGAUGUCUACUUGGAGGUUGUUCCCUUGAGGAGUGGCUUUCGGAGCUAACGCGUUAAGUAGACCGCCUGGGGAGUACGGUCGCAAGAUUAAAACUCAAAUGAAUUGACGGGGGCCCGCACAAGCGGUGGAGCAUGUGGUUUAAUUCGAUGCAACGCGAAGAACCUUACCUACUCUUGACAUCUACAGAAGCCAGCGGAGACGCAGGUGUGCCUUCGGGAACUGUAAGACAGGUGCUGCAUGGCUGUCGUCAGCUCGUGCUG